Sturnus vulgaris (Common starling) is the source of this 3903-nucleotide non-coding RNA. The record is from RefSeq and is a predicted model, not a curated record. Lineage: Eukaryota; Metazoa; Chordata; Aves; Passeriformes; Sturnidae.
UCUAUUUCAGUAUAGCAAAAAUACUUUUCCCUGUUAUAGUGAUAUAUAUUCUGUUUUUCAAGUAUACUUAAGGUGCUCUUCAGAGUUUUGAUCUUGGUGUUUCCUAAGUCACCUGGAGCAUUGAACUGAUACUAGAAUAUCCACAGCGAGUUUUGUAUCAAUAGAGUUUGUUCUUGCACAAGGUGAUUAUGUUGCUGAUUGUAGAAAAGGAAGGGCAUAAAAAGGUGUGUUACCUUUCUAAAAUCAAGUGUAGCAAUGAAUAAGCACUCAGAAAACACGAAUAAAGUGAAGAAUGUGUGUUUGCAGGUUCUGGAUUCUGUAUGGUUUCAUCUUGUAAAGUCUUUAGGAUUUCAUUACUGUUCAGUAAGGGCUUGGGUUGUUCUGUGCUAUUUUUCAUGUGUAGAAACUCAUGCAGAUAAAAGUGAACUUCUGUGAAGUGACUUUUUCCCUGUCUCUUCCAAGUACCAAAUAUUGAGCAGAUUGUCUGUUUCUUUUUGCCAUUAUCUCUACAUCUUUUUAUUUCUCUUUUGAGUCUUCUAGCUUUGAUCCAAACUGAUUUCACCUAAACAGUCCCAUUUUCUUGAAAGGUUUAGCCCUCAUCUUCUGUCUUCCAAAACAAAAAAAAAUUAGGUAAGAGUUUGCUUUUCUGAUGGUACUUGAAAGGGUGAAUCCCUGCUAGAUUUUCACUGGGUGUCCCUAUUGGCAGUAACUCCUACUGACACUUUGUGGUGGCCAGAAGUGCCGUGCCUUCAGUGCAAUGUGAUGGUGUCCGUGGGAGGAGGAGGAUGUCCCAGUCCCUUUCCUUUUCUGGGAAGCUUGUGCCAAAAGCUGGGCACACCUCUGCCAGCCCUUGGGCUGCUGCAGCAGAGCUGUGAGCGCUUUGUUUAUGAGCAUAUGUGCUACAAGGAGUAACGUGAGAGUCAGCUGGAGGCUAUUGCUGCUCCCUGAAAAGCUCUCGAGAGCUUUCAGCGAGCAGCCAUUCCAUUAGCUUCAAGCUUUGGAGGUGUCACUGGCUAUUUGUCUUCCUUCUUUGCAGGAAAUUCCCCCGAUCUUUUUCCGUGUUUCUGCUGUUCCUUUUUCCGAUGAGCUGGUGCCUGCAGGUGCAUGGCACAGCCAGAGGGACUGGAGCCAUGGUGCUCACCUGCAGCCAGCUCCGAUGGGUGCGGAGGCUGCAAACCCCACCCUGUGGGAACAGCAUUUUGUGCACUAUUGAGUAAUUGGGCUGUGGGAAGAGUGUUUCAGCAUCUAAAGCUCUCCAAGUAGGGCACCUCAUGAUCCCUAAAGUAAUGUAAAAUACAUUAGGGACAUGAAUGAAAUGGGAAGCAUAUAUAGCAUAUGUAUUUUUCAGUACAGCUUUUAGUGGCACAGAGAUAGAUGUUUCUAAUGUGUCACUAGACUAAGAUUUGCUUUAGCCAGGUAGCUUGUGUCACUCCAUGCCAGAUGUUGUACAGGAAGGCAAGCUCUAAUAAGGCUUCCAGUGCUCCAUAAGAGGAGAAAAUAAUUCUUUCUAAUCUAGCUCAAGAUGUUAAUCUCUGAAGCACACAGUUACCUGUGCCAGUUUAUUACAACACAUGUAUUUUCAAAGCUAAAUUCUGUUCUUACGCACACGUGACAGUUACUCCCAUACAGACAGGACUAUCCUUCAAGGCAUUUAGUUGUCAGUGAGGCAGAUUGUGUCUUUGUGAGGAAAAGAUUUAAGCAUGGGAUUUUAGUGGUUUUCUUCGUGUCUUGCUGUAGUCUUGUUUCUCUGGUUAAUUGCUUGUCAUUAACAGUGUUUUAAAACUGUUUUUCUCUGGUUUGUAAGAAGGCUCACCUGGUAACAUGCAGUCACCCUUUUUUACAUUUGUGCUCAAUGUUUGUGUUCAGCUCAGUCAUGGCAUUCUUUUCAGUUUGACAUCGUUGUAACACAACACACUCAUUUCAAUGUUUAUCUGCAAGUAUUUGUUUAAUUGCAAAUUACGGUAAUUUAGCAGGCUACUGGUUCAGUUGAAAUUGACUCCAUUCAAAAAGCUCAGGCUAGUAGGGAGAGAAGAGCAUUAUAAAAAAAAAACCAGCUCAAAAGGGAUUUUUGGUUAUGUGCUCUGUUUUGUGAUUGUUUAGAGCUUUUAAUUCUGUUUUGGUUUUAGCAUUUAUUCUGUUCUGGUGUUAGUGAAAACCACAAGAGCUUUCAAAUACCAGUGAGGAUGAGGACUUUGAAACUCUGUGAUGAGUGUUGGUUGGUAGUAGUUUAUUCUAACAGUUAAACUAGAUUUGAAAUGAAAUGUCUUGUCAGUUCAUAGUUAAAUUAUUCAUAACAGAUGCUGAUUUCAAUAAUGUCAUUCUGGAGUUUUUGCAAAAGAGUUAUUUACUCUCUCCAUUGUGACUGGAAUUUCUCUUAGAAUGGCACAGAGUAAAAAGGUGUUUGCAUCAUCUGUCAGCUCAGUUUCAGCAAGCUCAUUAGGGGAAGGGACGGAAAUGCAUCUGAAAGGGGAUUAUUGGGGACGUAUUUUCUCCUAGUCUCCACACAUUUUCUGUCAGAAGUUACACAUUUUGGCACUGAUUCCUGCUCUUGUUCUCUUCCUGCAAAGUGAGGACUUAGCUGCACAUUUGAACAGCUCUGCUUGGGGAACUGGUUCUGUUGGAAGGGAAGGGAGAACUUAAGAUGCAGGGGAGAUGCAAAUGGAAUACCUCUCCUGAGCUUGCACAUCCUGAUACUGAAAUAGGGAUGUGUUCUGUUCCUCCUGGUCUCAGAAAGAGAAUGUUUGGCUGUGUUCAAAUGGUACUUCUGAAUGAAAGGUUUGGGUCAAAUACAAAAAUAAGGAAUUAACACUAUGGUCAAUGCUUUGCAUUUAUUGUCAAUUGGUUCUGUUUGUUUGCACAUAACACCAUACAUAGAAAACAUUGGUUUAUGGGAAGCCACAGCCCUGCUCAGGUGUUUGUGACUUGCAUCUGACCUCACUGACAGCCAGGUAGAAGUACACUUGUUUCCUGGAAGAACUGAGAUUAGGCACAGACCAGCCCUCUAGAAAUCCAGUUUCAAAACGUAUCUAAACAGUGGAAGUGAAAUGUGAAAAUCCUGUCACAUGUAGGCAUGUAUUGAUCCAAAUGCUGAACAUUUAUGCACCUUCUCAGAUCGUGAUUAGGGGUAUGGGAAGUCAUCUCUGCUGUGUUUAUUCACACUUAUGUGAUUGCACAGUCUGGUUUGGGGUCUGAUAUUAAUAUUUUAUUUUUUUUUUUUCUUGUGUAAUUGAGGAAUGUCUUAUCUAAGAGACUGGAAUAAAAGUCAGUGAAAUAUUUUGCUUUGUGAAUGUAUGUACUGCCGAAAUAGUGCUUUUCAUGUGUCUGUCCUUCAUUUGACCUCCUAGGAAAUAUAGGCCAGGGUGUUUGAUAUGUCCAGUUUCCUCCUUCAUACACAUAUAUUGCACAUUUGUCAAAUGCUUUGUGAGGAUAUUGUGGGGUUUUGGGAGAUCACAUGAGAAAUAUAACUUCGUCUGUGCUUUGAGAAAGGUUACUAGAGAACAAAACCCUAACUUAACAGUGGCGGUUCCUCUGUUUAAUUCCUUAUUAAAAAUAAUUGUGCUUUGAAUUUGAAGAAACAUCUGCUCUGUUGUGGAGAGGCACAGGAGUCCAAUCUGUCUGUUUAUUCCUUGGAUGUAUUGAGCUUGUAUACAUCUUGGAGUGCAUAUUUGUGCAAACUCCUCAUCUGUUUAAUCCUUGUAUUAUAAGAAACGCCUUGUGCAUGGUAUCAGGGAGGGUGGAGAAUUUGUGUGACAUGGGGUUGGUAUUUUCUUCCAGGGAGACAGUUUGUGCUGUUACCCAGUGUCAUUUUCUAGAUUGCUCUUAGCUUGUUUUGAAAUUCAUUUGAGUUGUUUGAAUCGGAGAAUUCACUUUUAAGCUCUGCAGUCCUGAAAAUUUCUGUGGAAU